Non-coding RNA from Gossypium hirsutum (cotton), 106 nucleotides. Lineage: Eukaryota; Viridiplantae; Streptophyta; Magnoliopsida; Malvales; Malvaceae. The record is from Rfam.
AAUUCAUGGUGCGGACAUUUUUGAAUCAAUAUUUUGAAAUGUUCCUACGCCUCACAGAAGCUUUCUCCCUCAAUUUUUCUAAAGACAACAAUCUCUCUUCUUAGUU